CCCGGGGCAUUAGCUAGUUGGGAAGUAACGGCUCACCAAGGCCCCGAUGCAUAGCCGACCUGAGAGGGGGAUCGGCCACAUUGGGACUGAGACCCGGCCCAAAUUCCUACGGGAGGCAGCAGUAGGAAUUUUCGGCAAUGACGAAAGUCUGACCGAGCAACGCCGCGUGAGUGAAGAAGGUUUUCGGAUCGUAAAACUCUGUUGUUAGAGAAGAACAAGGAUGAGAGUAACUGUUCAUCCCUUGACGGUAUCUAACCAGAAAGCCACGGCUAACUACGUGCCAGCAGCCGCGGUAAUACGUAGGUGGCAAGCGUUGUCCGGAUUUAUUGGGCGUAAAGCGAGCGCAGGCGGUUUCUUAAGUCUGAUGUGAAAGCCCCCGGCUCAACCGGGGAGGGUCAUUGGAAACUGGGAGACUUGAGUGCAGAAGAGGAGAGUGGAAUUCCAUGUGUAGCGGUGAAAUGCGUAGAUAUAUGGAGGAACACCAGUGGCGAAGGCGGCUCUCUGGUCUGUAACUGACGCUGAGGCUCGAAAGCGUGGGGAGCAAACAGGAUUAGAUACCCUGGUAGUCCACGCCGUAAACGAUGAGUGCUAAGUGUUGGAGGGUUUCCGCCCUUCAGUGCUGCAGCUAACGCAUUAAGCACUCCGCCUGGGGAGUACGACCGCAAGGUUGAAACUCAAAGGAAUUGACGGGGGCCCGCACAAGCGGUGGAGCAUGUGGUUUAAUUCGAAGCAACGCGAAGAACCUUACCAGGUCUUGACAUCCUUUGACCACUCUAGAGAUAGAGCUUCCCCUUCGGGGGCAAAGUGACAGGUGGUGCAUGGUUGUCGUCAGCUCGUGUCGUGAGAUGUUGGGUUAAGUCCCGCAACGAGCGCAACCCUUAUUGUUAGUUGCCAUCAUUCAGUUGGGCACUCUAGCAAGACUGCCGGUGACAAACCGGAGGAAGGUGGGGAUGACGUCAAAUCAUCAUGCCCCUUAUGACCUGGGCUACACACGUGCUACAAUGGGAAGUACAACGAGUUGCGAAGUCGCGAGGCUAAGCUAAUCUCUUAAAGCUUCUCUCAGUUCGGAUUGCAGGCUGCAACUCGCCUGCAUGAAGCCGGAAUCGCUAGUAAUCGCGGAUCAGCACGCCGCGGUGAAUACGUUCCCGGGCCUUGUACACACCGCCCGUCACACCACGAGAGUUUGUAACACCCGAAGUCGGUGAGGUAACCUUUUGGAGCCAGCCGCCUAAGGUGUA
This 1238-nucleotide ribosomal RNA is filed under the name Enterococcus faecium. RNAcentral's name for it is "bacterial SSU rRNA". It matches the Rfam family "Bacterial small subunit ribosomal RNA", at positions 232 to 1466 of the family's 1533-position model. The record is from RNAcentral. Lineage: Bacteria; Bacillati; Bacillota; Bacilli; Lactobacillales; Enterococcaceae.